UACGAACCGUCCAAACGUUAUUCGGAUUUAUUGGGCUUAAAGGGUAUGUAGGCGGCGCUGUCAGUCGGGUGUGAAAGCCCUCGGCUCAACCGAGGAAUUGCGCCCGAUACUGCAGUGCUUGAGGGAGACAGAGGUAAGCGGAACUGAUGGUGGAGCGGUGAAAUGCGUUGAUAUCAUCAGGAACACCAGUGGCGAAAGCGGCUUACUGGGUCUCUUCUGACGCUGAGAUACGAAAGCUAGGGGAGCGAACGGG
RNAcentral lists this ribosomal RNA (253 nucleotides) under uncultured bacterium. Its description in RNAcentral is "partial 16S ribosomal RNA". It matches the Rfam family "Bacterial small subunit ribosomal RNA", at positions 524 to 776 of the family's 1533-position model. RNAcentral also lists the same sequence under 1 other name. The record is from RNAcentral.